GGUACCAAUCUAAAAGGUUCUUGAAUGGGGCGAACACUUUUUUAUGACUGAAAGCGUUAAGCCCGCCUCGUCACUAAUGUUAAUAAAUUCCUGUCGGAGAAUACCGCAAAAUGAUAUUUCAGUUCGCUCAACGCGGACCUAUUUGACGAGGCGGUGUCUCGGUUAACAAUGUCCCCUAAAAAUGUUCAUAUUUCAAUCGCCGUAGAGCAAAUGACGAGGUUUCUCUUGAAGCAAGCAAAGCGACCGCCUAAGCAUGCUUUCGAGGCAACUUAAGAUAGGAAAAAAACUCAAGAGUUCAGUGAUCAAACACCAACAGAGCCUCGUGAUAAGUUGCCUGUAAAGAGGAGCAUGAACCCAUCAGAUGCCUCCGAAGAUAUUGACCUGACGAACAAUGCUGCAAAGCAAAAUCUCAGUAAGCAAAGUGCUCAAACACCUACAGAGCCUCGUGACAAGUUUCUGUACACAGAAGAGCCUGAUCCCAUCAGAUGCCUCCGAAGAGAUUGAAAAGAACUGUUUACGGACAUUUUCAGAACUGUUUAAGAACUUUGUUCCAGACUUAUUUGAAGCAACCCUUCGAAACUGUUCUAAACAUUUCUAGAAUUGUACUGGAACACACCGGCUAGAACUGUUCUGUAAUCAUACUGAAAAUGUUCUAGAAUUAUUCUGGAACAGUUGUUGAACGUUAAAUGAGAAAAAAAUUCUAGAACAAUUCUAUAACAGUUCUGGAAAUUUAUUCAAGAAAAAUUGUGGAAUAGUUCUAGAACGAUAGUUCAAGAAUUGUUCUAGAUCAGUUGUUGAACGUUAAAUGAGAAAAAUUUCUAGAACAAUUCUAUAACAGUUCUGGAAAUUUAUUCAAGAAAAAUUCUGGAAUAGUUCUAGAACGCUAGUUCAAGAAUUGUUCUAGAACAAACCUUCAGAACUGUUUCAGAACAAAUUGUUCUAGAAAUUAUUCUCAUUUAACGUUCAACAACUGUUCUAAAUCGUUCUAGAGCAUUUUAAGGAUGAUUCCAGAACACUUCUAGUCAUUAGUUCCAGUACAAUUCUAGAAAUGUUAUAGAACAGUUCUAACAAUCUUCGCAGGGGCGAGUGUGACCAUAAAAAAUGUUCAGUUUUAUAGAAGGGGUUCCACUGUAACAUAAAAUUGAAUCGAAGCAUGUCUACUCCACUAUCAUCCCCAACAAUUACAAUAACCUGCACAGGCAUGUCUUACAAGUGAUAGUAUUCCUAAAUCACUCAGGUUAAAGUUGUAAUAUAAAAAAAAUAAAAUUGUAAAUACAGUGACAAAAACAAAUUUGCAUCCAUGUAUUUACUAGACAUAUGAAUUUCAUAAGAAGAAUGCUUCUUCAUGACAGUGCUUUAAGUUUUAGAAUUCCAGGUAAUUGAUUGUAUAUUAUAUAUUCUUACUUUAAUGGCAGAAAUUCUUAAAGCCUAUUCAUUGAAUAUCAUAUUUAUUAACAUGUUCAAAAGCAAUUGACUCAUUCUUCAUUCUGUAUGAGAUCAAGAGUUCAAUGUUCAGUAACAAAUGUUCUGUGUUAAAGAUAGGUGUAGGAAAUCACAUUUCCUAUGGGGAGAACUGUAGCAACCUAAACCAAUUAGGUCUGAAAUGGAGCACUUGGCUCAUGGCUCAUUGUGGCUCUACAAAGUAUUUCACUCCCUUGGUGCAAAAAGGUACCAUGUGACAUUGAAAUUAGAGGGCACAUGGUACCUUUUUGCACCAAUGGGGCGAAAUUUUGAUACUGCUUUUAAGCCCAGCUCUGGGAAAACAUGGAUUAAUGCUCUGUCCACCUAGACUGGAUUGAAACCAAUUUUAAACGUAAUAUUCCAUACAAGCCUGUGUGUACUGCACAGGCUAAUCUGGGACAAAACUUUCUGCUUUAUUUUUAUUAAAGGAAGUCUCCUUUUAAGAAAAAUCCAUUCUACCAGUAGGCGGAAAGUUUUGUCCAUGAACUUGUCCUCUUCUAUGAACACUUAAAUACAUAUUUUUUUCACUGACCUAUUAAUAACUGAUGGCAAUCAACAAUGUUUACUGUUUUGAAAAAUUUCAUAAUUAUAAUCAUAAACCAGUCUAGUCAGUUGGUUACAGACUGACCAGGUAAGAACACAACUGAAGUUGGGGGACCAUACUCAUUUUUCAGACAGACUGACUGGUUCCAUUCUCUUGCAUAACAUGGCUCCAGGAAAUCUGUGUUUACCAGUCCACUAUCAACUGAUUAAAUUGGUCAAUUUUCUGCUGAUACUUUCUUGGGAAGAAGUUAAACAAGGCAUUGAGAGUGAGAGAAAGAACCUGCAUCUGCCAAACUCAUGAUAUUUUAACAGUUUUACAGGAAAUCAAGAUAAUAUUUUCUAACUGGUUAUAACCUUUUUAAAAGCCUUGCAGACUUAUUAAAGUAUUUCAAUUAUGUCUCUUAACCUUUUCCCCCAUAAGAAUUGAAAAUGGCCUUUGAAAGCAGCAUAAAACCAGAACAGCCUGUGAGCAACUCCAGUCUGUUGUAUGCUGUUUGCUGCUCAUCAGUAACUAAGGGUUGAAAAUAAACCCUUAAAACUUGAAUUUAGAAGGAAAGGAAUCGAAGUGGUUAAAGGUUAACUCAGUUGAGCUACCCAUUAGCAUGUUUGACUAAGGUUGGAAAUUGUACUGUGAUUUGUUGGAAUGAUAGAAGAAUUUGAGCUGUGUCAUGUAACAAACAUGUAUUUCCCCUGAGCCUGUUUCACUUUUUUUUCAAUAAUAAAAUGAAAAUGUAGAUAGAUCCAAAUCUUCAGAGUAUCAUUGUGACCUCUCCAAUUUCAAUUAAUGGAUUAAUUAGAUCUGUAACAUCUACCUGAGAUAAUCUGAGAGGAAUUAAUCAUAUCAGAAUAACAAAGGUAUCUGUCUGUUAUUUCCAGUCUCAAUGAUCUCUAUGAAUCAAGUAGCUAAUACAAAUUGAGCUAAUUGGCAGUGAUUACAUCCAAAUAUCAGCCAGUGAACCCGGUUUAACCAACUAAACAUUGUUCCAGGCAUUCAAGUACACUGGUAACCUACCUAGCUUGAUUAUUCUUCAGAAUGAAAUUUAUAGAACCAAAUAAAUGUGAUUUCCUUUCAGUAGUAAUGAAUCUGGUCAAAAUUAAUUGAUUUAUAGUGACAAAUAUGGGUAAGAGGCUUACAUAACAGUCUGGUAAGCAUCCUCAGACAGUUAUUGCCCUUGUUUAUGAGGCUGCCAUUUCAAGCUAAAAAUGAAAUUGACAGAAUACAUACUGUAGCUGUAUAUUUAACAAACUAUUUAUUUAUAUGUCUCAUUAAAUUAUAUUUUAGAAUUGUUUUCUAUAUUUUUUUUAUCAUUUAAUAUGUUUCUAUAAGUCUUUCAUACAAUUAUGCCAAGCUUGCAUUUUCUCAACAAGUUUAAAGAUUAACAUCUCAUAUAAAAUGAAUUUGUAAUUAAUUAAAAAUAAAAUUGA
Long non-coding RNA from Dreissena polymorpha, 3429 nucleotides. RefSeq lists it as uncharacterized. Lineage: Eukaryota; Metazoa; Mollusca; Bivalvia; Myida; Dreissenidae. The transcript has 4 exons. The record is from RefSeq and is a predicted model, not a curated record.